UUGCUUUGUUUUUUUUGCCACUCAGAAUAAAAUUUCCACUAAAACUGAUGAGUUUGGCGCUGCCGGCGGGGCCCAGCUGGCCAGGCUGGACUGCUGGCGGACGCGCCCGGAGAACCGAGACGCGCCCACCGGCAAGCCCGCCGAAGCAACGCCGCAAUGGGUAAUGUUCGCAAGGGUUGGAGCGCUAAGUCUCACUAAUGAUCCCUCCGCUGGUUCACCAACGGAGA
This 227-nucleotide unclassified non-coding RNA is filed under the name uncultured fungus. RNAcentral's name for it is "sequence contains ITS1". Lineage: Eukaryota; Fungi. The record is from RNAcentral.